This 291-nucleotide ribosomal RNA is filed under the name uncultured bacterium. Its description in RNAcentral is "partial 16S ribosomal RNA". It matches the Rfam family "Archaeal small subunit ribosomal RNA", at positions 455 to 747 of the family's 1478-position model. The record is from RNAcentral.
GUGCAGCAGCUGCGGUAAUACCGGCAGCUCAAGUGAUGUCCUAUAUUAUUGGGCCUAAAGCGUCCGUAGCUGGCCGACCAAGUCUCCCGGGAAAUCCACCCGCCCAACGGGUGGGCGUCCGGUAGAAACUGGCCGGCUUGGAACCGGAAGGCUCAGAGAGUACGUCCGGGGUAGGAGUGAAAUCCCGUAAUCCCGGACGGACCACCGAUGGCGAAAGCACUCUGAGAAGACGGCUUCGACAGUGAGGGACGAAAGCUAGGGUCUCAAACCGGAUUAGAUACCGAGUAGUCC